UACGUAGGUGGCAAGCGUUGUCCGGAUUUACUGGGCGUAAAGAGCGCGCAGGCGGUCGAUUUAGUCGCGUGUGAAAGCCCCCGGCUCAACUGGGGAGGGUCACGCGAUACUGAUCGACUCGAAGGCAGGAGAGGGUAGUGGAAUUCCCGGUGUAGUGGUGAAAUGCGCAGAUAUCGGGAGGAACACCAGUAGCGAAGGCGGUUCUCUGGGCCGGUACUGACGCUGAGGAGCGAAAGCGUGGGGAGCAAACAGG
RNAcentral lists this ribosomal RNA (253 nucleotides) under uncultured bacterium. RNAcentral's name for it is "partial 16S ribosomal RNA". It matches the Rfam family "Bacterial small subunit ribosomal RNA", at positions 524 to 776 of the family's 1533-position model. The record is from RNAcentral.